This 992-nucleotide long non-coding RNA is filed under the name Salmo salar (Atlantic salmon). RNAcentral's name for it is "lncRNA (ENSSSAG00000117676.1)". The record is from RNAcentral. Lineage: Eukaryota; Metazoa; Chordata; Actinopteri; Salmoniformes; Salmonidae.
CAUGUAACUAUGUACCAUUCAGAUGUACAACAUGUAACUAUGUACCAUUCAGAUGUACAACAUGUAACUAUGUACCAUUCAGAUGUACAACAUGUAACUAUGUACCAUUCAGAUGUACAACAUGUAACUAUGUACCAUUCAGAUGUACAAUAUGUAACUAUGUACCAUUCAGACGACAGUAUCUCUGGUCUCUCAUAUCAUCUCUGUGCUUCCAGUCAGUGUGUUAAGGUGGGCUGAGUGUUUAGUGAGAGGAGACGACAGUAUCUCUGGUCUCUCAUAUCAUCUCUGUGCUUCCAGUCCGUGUGUUAAGGUGGGCUGAGUGUUUAGUGAGAGGAGACGACAGUAUCUCUGGUCUCUCAUAUCAUCUCUGUGCUUCCAGUCAGUGUGUUAAGGUGGGCUGAUGUUUAGUGAGAGACAGUUCCUGUGUAAAUAACAUACAAGCUCCUGUGUUACUACACAGUGGGGAUGUACCCCUCAAAUGGCACCCUAUUCCCUAUAAUAGUGCACUACUUUUGACCAAAGCCACAUACAGUAGGGCACCAUAUAUACCUCCCUUCCUCUUCUCCCUCCCUCUCCUUCUUCUACUUUCUCCCUCUCUCUCCCCCUUCUCCCUCUCUCUCCCCCUUCUCCCUCUCUCUCCCUCCCUCUCCUUCUUCUACUUUCUCCCUCUCUCUCCCCCUUCUCCCUCUCUCUCCCUCUUCUCCCUCUCUCUCCCUCCCUCUCCUUCUUCUACUUUCUCCCUCUCUCUCCCCCUUCUCCCUCUCUCUCCCUCUUCUCCCUCUCUCUCCCUCCCUCUCCUUCUUCUACUUUCUCCCUCUCUCUCCCUCUUCUCCCUCUCUCUCCCUCCCUCUCCUUCUUCUACUUUCUCCCUCUCUCUCCCCCUUCUCCCUCUCUCUCCCUCUCUCUCCCUCUCUCUCCCUCCCUCUCCUUCUUCUACUCCCCCUUCCCCUUCUUCCCCCUUUCUUCCUCUCUUCCACUCCCCUCUCUCCCCC